Molecule: long non-coding RNA, 225 nt
Filed under: Lathyrus oleraceus (garden pea)
Lineage: Eukaryota; Viridiplantae; Streptophyta; Magnoliopsida; Fabales; Fabaceae
Description: Pisum sativum (pea) long non-coding RNA (PSAT_LNC032653)
Source: RNAcentral
AAACAUUAAAAAUCAUUUUUAGAAACUAGAAAUUAAAAGAAUAAUGCAAUUGGUCUCACAUUUUUUGGACCAAUAAUGAACGAGAUAUGAUUUUUUGAAAUGAAAAGGAAUUAAAGAAAUAAAAAGAAAAUGAAAUCUGAAAAUAAAAAAUAUGAAAAAACAUGGAGCGUUGGAUGAAGCUCAUUAAUUGAGCUGGCAAAUCCUUUGGACCACAUGCGCGCAUCC